UACGUAGGGUGCGAGCGUUAAUCGGAAUUACUGGGCGUAAAGCGCGCGUAGGCGGCUUUGUAAGUUAGAGGUGAAAGCCCGGAGCUCAACUCCGGAACUGCCUUUAAAACUGCAUCGCUUGAAUCCGGGAGAGGUGAGUGGAAUUCCGAGUGUAGAGGUGAAAUUCGUAGAUAUUCGGAAGAACACCAGUGGCGAAGGCGGCUCACUGGACCGGCAUUGACGCUGAGGUGCGAAAGCGUGGGGAGCAAACAGG
This 253-nucleotide ribosomal RNA is filed under the name uncultured bacterium. RNAcentral describes it as "partial 16S ribosomal RNA". It matches the Rfam family "Bacterial small subunit ribosomal RNA", at positions 524 to 776 of the family's 1533-position model. The record is from RNAcentral.